GGACAAAGACACAACAUCCAUCAUGUGACUUCUCUCUCCGUCAGCAGAAUUGAAGCUCUGAAUGCUUCUGUUUUAACACAGAAGAAGAGGACAUGAUGAUGCAGGACCGACACCUAGCCCCGCCCACUGGACUGUGAUCGGCCAAAUGUUUUCCAUUGACAACCAGAGAAAUCUUGUAUUUUGUAUUUUUUUUACCUGGAAUUGUUUGUUUUAAGUGAAACAUUUCAUAAUUUAAAAUGUAACAACUUUUUUCCUGUUUGGUUUACUUUUGAAGUUAAACAAAAAUAUAAUAAUACAAUUAAAUUAUAAACAAAAGUGUAGAAUAACAUGAUUACUUUUUC
Long non-coding RNA from Gasterosteus aculeatus aculeatus (three-spined stickleback), 341 nucleotides. The record is from Ensembl. NCBI's taxonomy places the organism in Eukaryota, Metazoa, Chordata, Actinopteri, Perciformes, Gasterosteidae.